Molecule: unclassified non-coding RNA, 20 nt
Filed under: Dictyostelium discoideum
Lineage: Eukaryota; Evosea; Eumycetozoa; Dictyosteliales; Dictyosteliaceae
Source: RNAcentral
UGCUAAUGGCCUAUCAAGCG